Molecule: ribosomal RNA, 301 nt
Filed under: uncultured bacterium
Lineage: Bacteria
Description: partial 16S ribosomal RNA
Rfam family: Bacterial small subunit ribosomal RNA
Source: RNAcentral
CAGUCGCCACGGUAAUACAGAGGUCUCAAGCGUUGUUCGGAUUUAUUGGGCGUAAAGGGUGCGUAGGUGGCGGUGUAAGUCUAACGUGAAAUCUCGGGGCUCAACCUCGAAAUUGCGUCGGAUACUGCAUUGCUAGAGGAUUGUAGAGGAGAGUGGAAUUCAUGGUGUAGCAGUGAAAUGCGUAGAUAUCAUGAGGAAGACCAGUUGCGAAGGCGACUCUCUGGGCAAUUCCUGACACUGAGGCACGAAGGCUAGGGGAGCAAACGGGAUUAGAUACCCCGGUAGUCCCUGUCUCUUAUAU